AUGAACGCUGGCGGCGUGCCUAACACAUGCAAGUCGAACGGAGAUUUAACGCUGAUGAGGCUUCGGCGGAUUCUUGUUAAAUCUUAGUGGCGGACGGGUGAGUAACGCGUGGGCAACCUGCCUCAUACUGGGGGAUAACAGCUGGAAACGACUGUUAAUACCGCAUAAGCGCACAGCAUCGCAUGAUGCAGUGUGAAAAAACUCCGGUGGUAUGAGAUGGGCCCGCGUCAGAUUAGCCAGUUGGCAGGGUAACGGCCUACCAAAGCAACGAUCUGUAGCCGGCCUGAGAGGGCGGACGGCCACAUUGGGACUGAGACACGGCCCAAACUCCUACGGGAGGCAGCAGUGGGGGAUAUUGCACAAUGGAGGAAACUCUGAUGCAGCGACGCCGCCGUGAGUGAAGAAGUAUUUCGGUAUGUAAAGCUCUAUCAGCAGGGAAGAAAGGCUCGUAAGAGAGAUGACGGUACCUGACUAAGAAGCCCCGGCUAACUACGUGCCAGCCGCCGC
Molecule: ribosomal RNA, 507 nt
Filed under: uncultured bacterium
Lineage: Bacteria
Description: bacterial SSU rRNA
Rfam family: Bacterial small subunit ribosomal RNA
Source: RNAcentral